CCUACGGGAGGCAGCAGUGGGGAAUAUUGGACAAUGGGGGGAACCCUGAUCCAGCCAUGCCGCGUGUGUGAAGAAGGCCCUCGGGUUGUAAAGCACUUUCAGUGAGGAAGAACGCCUGGUGGUUAAUACCCAUCAGGAAAGACAUCACUCACAGAAGAAGCACCGGCUAACUCCGUGCCAGCAGCCGCGGUAAUACGGAGGGUGCGAGCGUUAAUCGGAAUUACUGGGCGUAAAGCGCGCGUAGGUGGCUUGAUAAGCCGGUUGUGAAAGCCCCGGGCUCAACCUGGGAACGGCAUCCGGAACUGUCAAGCUAGAGUGCAGGAGAGGAAGGUAGAAUUCCCGGUGUAGCGGUGAAAUGCGUAGAGAUCGGGAGGAAUACCAGUGGCGAAGGCGGCCUUCUGGACUGACACUGACACUGAGGUGCGAAGGCGUGGGUAGCAAACAGGAUUAGAUACCCGAGUAGUC
This 465-nucleotide ribosomal RNA is filed under the name Vreelandella stevensii. Its description in RNAcentral is "partial 16S ribosomal RNA". It matches the Rfam family "Bacterial small subunit ribosomal RNA", at positions 338 to 795 of the family's 1533-position model. Lineage: Bacteria; Pseudomonadati; Pseudomonadota; Gammaproteobacteria; Oceanospirillales; Halomonadaceae. The record is from RNAcentral.